UAGUCAUAUGCUUGUCUCAAAGAUUAAGCCAUGCAUGUCUAAGUACAAGCCUCACUAAGGUGAAACCGCGAAUGGCUCAUUAAAUCACACCUAAUCUACUGGAUAGUUAACAGUUACUUGGAUAACUGCGGUAAUUCUGGAGCUAAUACAUGCACAAAGCCCCGAACUUACGUGAGGGGCGCUUUUAUUAGAUCAAAACCAAACGGCUUCGGCUGUAUCCUUGGUGACUCUGAAUAACUUUGGGCUGAUCGCAUGGCCUAGCGCCGGCGACAUAUCCUUCGAAGGUGUGCCCUAUCAACUGUCGACUGUGGCAUAGACGCCCACAGUGGUUUUGACGGGUAACGGGGAAUCAGGGUUCGAUUCCGGAGAGGGAGCCUUAAAAACGGCUACCACAUCUAAGGAAGGCAGCAGGCACGCAAAUUACCCAAUGACCGAAGGUCGAGGUAGUGACAAAAAAUAACGAUACGGGACUCAUCUGAGGCCCCGUAAUCGGAAUGAGUACACUUUAAAACCGCCCCCGAGGAUCUAUU
This 530-nucleotide ribosomal RNA is filed under the name uncultured eukaryote. RNAcentral describes it as "SSU rRNA". It matches the Rfam family "Eukaryotic small subunit ribosomal RNA", at positions 21 to 549 of the family's 1831-position model. The record is from RNAcentral.